CAGUAGCCGCGGUAAUACGAAGGGUGCAAGCGUUAAUCGGAAUUACUGGGCGUAAAGCGUGCGUAGGCGGUUUGUUAAGUCUGCUGUGAAAUCCCCGGGCUCAACCUGGGAAUGGCAGUGGAUACUGGCAAGCUAGAGUGUGUCAGAGGAUGGUGGAAUUCCCGGUGUAGCGGUGAAAUGCGUAGAGAUCGGGAGGAACAUCAGUGGCGAAGGCGGCCAUCUGGGACAACACUGACGCUGAGGCACGAAAGCGUGGGGAGCAAACAGGAUUAGAUACCCCUGUAGUCCCUGUCUCUUAUAC
This 301-nucleotide ribosomal RNA is filed under the name uncultured bacterium. Its description in RNAcentral is "partial 16S ribosomal RNA". It matches the Rfam family "Bacterial small subunit ribosomal RNA", at positions 509 to 807 of the family's 1533-position model. The record is from RNAcentral.